Molecule: ribosomal RNA, 484 nt
Filed under: uncultured bacterium
Lineage: Bacteria
Description: partial 16S ribosomal RNA
Rfam family: Bacterial small subunit ribosomal RNA
Source: RNAcentral
GACGAACGCUGGUGGCGUGCUUAACACAUGCAAGUCGAACGAUGAAGCCGGAGCUUGCUCUGGUGAAUUAGUGGCGAACGGGUGAGUAACACGUGAGUAACCUGCCCUUGACUCUGGGAUAACUGCUAGAAAUGGUAGCUAAUACCGGAUACGACCCUCGGCGGCAUCGCCAGGGGGUGGAAAGAAUUUCGGUCAAGGAUGGACUCGCGGCCUAUCAGCUAGUUGGUGAGGUAACGGCUCACCAAGGCGACGACGGGUAGCCGGCCUGAGAGGGUGACCGGCCAGACUGGGACUGGGACACGGCCCAGACUCCUACGGGAGGCAGCAGUGGGGAAUAUUGAACAAUGGGCGCAAGCCUGAUGCAGCAACGCGGCGGGAGGGAUGACGGACUUCGGGUUGUAAACCUCUUUUAGUAGGGAAGAAGCGAAAGUGACGGUACCUGCAGAAAAAGCACCGGCUAACUACGUGCCAGCCGCCGCCGUAA